AUGAUAAAAAGAAUCCUAACUAUCAGUUAAGUGAGAGAAUUCAGUCAAUAUUGACAUCCACAUGUAGCUCAGGCAGGAUGCAUGUGUAAGUUUUGGGUAGAUGGGUGUCCACCUCUCCAAACAAUACCCCAUUCUUAAAUUAGUUUAGGGAUAUGGUUCUGUCCAUUUUUAAUAUCCAACUCUAAAAAUUUUUGACAAUGUCAGCAAUUUUGUCAAAGCAUAUUCUCCUGAAAAAAUUUAUUCUCCCUCCCACACCCCAUCUGAACUUAAUUUUAAAGUGCUGACUGUGCAAUUAAGCACUUGACAUCUGACCAAAAUGCAAAGGUGAACGCCUUCUACUACAUCAAAGACUCAAAGCUGACAAAAAGAAAAAAAACUGCACAUUAACAAAAGACAGUCGGUGGCGAUUACCGUAAUUGAUAAAAGGUUUAUGUAUGUUGAACUUACCGGGCGAUCAGCAAAAGAACCAAACUCUUUGACGAAAAUGUCUCUCAGCAUUUCUGGGUCCGAGAUUAUUAUGCAUGGUUUGCUGCCAAAGACUCCUGUCCGUUUGGAGGAUUGCACCACUGAUUGUAAAUGGACUCAAUAUCAAGUGUAAUAUUCCCUCCGACACGACACUCUAUAAAUAAAUUAAUUUUAACUCA
This is a long non-coding RNA of Pocillopora damicornis (cauliflower coral), 644 nucleotides long. RefSeq lists it as uncharacterized. NCBI's taxonomy places the organism in Eukaryota, Metazoa, Cnidaria, Anthozoa, Scleractinia, Pocilloporidae. The record is from RefSeq and is a predicted model, not a curated record.